Molecule: ribosomal RNA, 248 nt
Filed under: uncultured Lachnospiraceae bacterium
Lineage: Bacteria; Bacillati; Bacillota; Clostridia; Lachnospirales; Lachnospiraceae
Description: partial 16S ribosomal RNA
Rfam family: Bacterial small subunit ribosomal RNA
Source: RNAcentral
UACGUAGGGGGCAAGCGUUAUCCGGAUUUACUGGGUGUAAAGGGAGCGUAGACGGUUAAGCAAGUCUGGAGUGAAAGGCGGGGGCUCAACCCCCGGACUGCUCUGGAAACUGUAUAACUAGAGUGCAGGAGGGGUAAGUGGAAUUCCUAGUGUAGCGGUGAAAUGCGUAGAUAUUAGGAGGAACACCAGUGGCGAAGGCGGCUUACUGGACUGUAACUGACGUUGAGGCUCGAAAGCGUGGGGAGCAA